GUCUCCGUUGGUGAACCAGCGGAGGGAUCAUUACAGAGUUGCAAAACUCCCUAAACCAUUGUGAACGUUACCUUCAAACCGUUGCUUCGGCGGGCGGCCCGGGUCCGCCCGGUGCCCCCUGGCCCCCUAGCGGGGCGCCCGCCGGAGGAAACCCAACUCUUGAUUAUUAUGGCCUCUCUGAGUCUUCUGUACUGAAUAAGUCAAAACUUUCAACAACGGAUCUCUUGGUUCUGGCAUCGAUGAAGAACGCAGCGAAAUGCGAUAAGUAAUGUGAAUUGCAGAAUUCAGUGAAUCAUCGAAUCUUUGAACGCACAUUGCGCCCGCCAGUAUUCUGGCGGGCAUGCCUGUUCGAGCGUCAUUUCAACCAUCAAGCCCCAGGCUUGUGUUGGGGACCUGCGGCUGCCGCAGGCCCUGAAAACCAGUGGCGGGCUCGCUGUCACACCGGGCGUAGUAGAUUUUAUCUCGCUCAGGGCGUGCUGCGGGUUCCGGCCGUUAAAAGCCUUUUUUACCCAAGGUUGACCUCGGAUCAGGUAGGAAUACCCGCUGAACUUAAGCAUAUCAAUAA
RNAcentral lists this ribosomal RNA (565 nucleotides) under Thielavia sp. Its description in RNAcentral is "eukaryotic LSU rRNA". The stretch from base 205 to 358 matches the Rfam family "5.8S ribosomal RNA". The record is from RNAcentral. Lineage: Eukaryota; Fungi; Ascomycota; Sordariomycetes; Coronophorales; Ceratostomataceae.